AUUGAACGCUGGCGGAAUGCUUUACACAUGCAAGUCGAACGGCAGCACGGGGGCAGCCCUGGUGGCGAGUGGCGAACGGGUGAGUAAUACAUCGGAACGUGCCCGGUCGGGGGGGAUAACGUAGCGAAAGUUACGCUAAUACCGCAUACGAUCUGAGGAUGAAAGCGGGGGACCUUCGGGCCUCGCGCGAUGGGAGCGGCCGAUGUCAGAUUAGGUAGUUGGUGGGGUAAAGGCCUACCAAGCCGACGAUCUGUAGCUGGUCUGAGAGGACGACCAGCCACACUGGGACUGAGACACGGCCCAGACUCCUACGGGAGGCAGCAGUGGGGAAUUUUGGACAAUGGGCGCAAGCCUGAUCCAGCCAUUCCGCGUGCAGGACGAAGGCCUUCGGGUCGUAAACUGCUUUUGUACGGAACGAAAAGGCUCUGGCUAAUACCUGGGGCUCAUGACGGUACCGUAAGAAUAAGCACCGGCUAACUACGUG
RNAcentral lists this ribosomal RNA (484 nucleotides) under uncultured bacterium. RNAcentral's name for it is "partial 16S ribosomal RNA". It matches the Rfam family "Bacterial small subunit ribosomal RNA", at positions 29 to 507 of the family's 1533-position model. The record is from RNAcentral.